UCGCGUUUUCGGAGCGGCCGAUAUCGGAUUAGCUAGUAGGUGAGGUAAAGGCUCACCUAGGCGACGAUCCGUAGCUGGUCUGAGAGGACGACCAGCCACACUGGAACUGAGACACGGUCCAGACUCCUACGGGAGGCAGCAGUGGGGAAUUUUGGACAAUGGGCGAAAGCCUGAUCCAGCCAUGCCGCGUGAGUGAAGAAGGCCUUCGGGUUGUAAAGCUCUUUCAGCCGGAAAGAAAACGCAUGGGUUAAUAACCUGUGUGGAUGACGGUACCGGAAGAAGAAGCACCGGCUAACUACGUGCCAGCAGCCGCGGUAAUACGUAGGGUGCGAGCGUUAAUCGGAAUUACUGGGCGUAAAGCGUGCGCAGGCGGUUUUGUAAGACAGAUGUGAAAUCCCCGGGCUUAACCUGGGAACUGCAUUUGUGACUGCAAGGCUAGAGUACGGCAGAGGGGGGUAGAAUUCCACGUGUAGCAGUGAAAUGCGUAGAUAUGUGGAGGAAUACCGAUGGCGAAGGCAGCCCCCUGGGUCGAUACUGACGCUCACGCACGAAAGCGUGGGGAGCAAACAGGAUUAGAUACCCUGGUAGUCCACGCCCUAAACGAUGUCAACUAGGUGUUGGGGGAGGAGACUUCCUUAG
This 639-nucleotide ribosomal RNA is filed under the name uncultured bacterium. RNAcentral's name for it is "bacterial SSU rRNA". It matches the Rfam family "Bacterial small subunit ribosomal RNA", at positions 213 to 843 of the family's 1533-position model. The record is from RNAcentral.